GACGAACGCUGGCGGCGUGCCUAAUACAUGCAAGUAGAACGCUGAAGAGAGGAGCUUGCUCUUCUUGGAUGAGUUGCGAACGGGUGAGUAACGCGUAGGUAACCUGCCUUGUAGCGGGGGAUAACUAUUGGAAACGAUAGCUAAUACCGCAUAACAAUGGAUGACACAUGUCAUUUAUUUGAAAGGGGCAAUUGCUCCACUACAAGAUGAACCUGCGUUGUAUUAGCUAGUAGGUGAGGUAACGGCUCACCUAGGCGACGAUACAUAGCCGACCUGAGAGGGUGAUCGGCCACACUGGGACUGAGACACGGCCCAGACUCCUACGGGAGGCAGCAGUAGGGGAUCUUCGGCAAUGGGGGCAACCCUGACCGAGCAACGCCGCGUGAGUGAAGAAGGUUUUCGGAUCGUAAAGCUCUGUUGUAAGUCAAGAACGAGUGUGAGAGUGGAAAGUUCACACUGUGACGGUAGCUUACCAGAAAGGGACGGCUAACUACGUGCCAGCAGCCGCGGUAAUACGUAGGUCCCGAGCGUUGUCCGGAUUUAUUGGGCGUAAAGCGAGCGCAGGCGGUUUGAUAAGUCUGAAGUUAAAGGCUGUGGCUCAACCAUAGUUCGCUUUGGAAACUGUCAAACUUGAGUGCAGAAGGGGAGAGUGGAAUUCCAUGUGUAGCGGUGAAAUGCGUAGAUAUAUGGAGGAACACCGGUGGCGAAAGCGGCUCUCUGGUCUGUAACUGACGCUGAGGCUCGAAAGCGUGGGGAGCGAACAGGAUUAGGUACCCUGGUAGUCCACGCCGUAAACGAUGAGUGCUAGGUGUUGGAUCCUUUCCGGGAUUCAGUGCCGCAGCUAACGCAUUAAGCACUCCGCCUGGGGAGUACGACCGCAAGGUUGAAACUCAAAGGAAUUGACGGGGGCCCGCACAAGCGGUGGAGCAUGUGGUUUAAUUCGAAGCAACGCGAAGAACCUUACCAGGUCUUGACAUCCCGAUGCUAUUUCUAGAGAUAGAAAGUUACUUCGGUACAUCGGUGACAGGUGGUGCAUGGUUGUCGUCAGCUCGUGUCGUGAGAUGUUGGGUUAAGUCCCGCAACGAGCGCAACCCCUAUUGUUAGUUGCCAUCAUUCAGUUGGGCACUCUAGCGAGACUGCCGGUAAUAAACCGGAGGAAGGUGGGGAUGACGUCAAAUCAUCAUGCCCCUUAUGACCUGGGCUACACACGUGCUACAAUGGUUGGUACAACGAGUUGCGAGUCGGUGACGGCAAGCUAAUCUCUUAAAGCCAAUCUCAGUUCGGAUUGUAGGCUGCAACUCGCCUACAUGAAGUCGGAAUCGCUAGUAAUCGCGGAUCAGCACGCCGCGGUGAAUACGUUCCCGGGCCU
Molecule: ribosomal RNA, 1369 nt
Filed under: uncultured bacterium
Lineage: Bacteria
Description: bacterial SSU rRNA
Rfam family: Bacterial small subunit ribosomal RNA
Source: RNAcentral